GGCAAGUCUGGUGCCAGCAGCCGCGGUAAUUCCAGCUCCAAUAGUGUAUAUUAAAGUUGCUGCGGUUAAAAGCUCGUAGUUGGAUUUCGGAGUUGUUAUCUGAACCUUCUCGCCCUAAAAAGUGGGGGGCUAAGGUAGCAGUAGUUUUCAUCAUAGUCCACCAGGAUACUCUCUUGGUGUGUACUGGGUGUUAACCUCCUUUUUUCUGGUACUUGCUAUCCAGCAAUGGGUAGUUUUGUCCAGAUAGUUUACUUUGAAGAAAUUAGAGUGUUUAAAGCAGGCUUACGCUUGAAUACGCCAGCAUGGAAUAACAAGAUAGGACUUUGGUUCUAUUUUGUUGGUUUGAGGACCAAGGUAAUGAUUAAUAGGGCCAGUCGGGGCAUUAGUAUUCUAUAGUCAGAGGUGAAAUUCUUGGAUUUAUAGAAGACUAACUAAUGCGAAAGCAUUUGCCAAGGAUGUUUUCAUUAAUCAAGAACGAAAGUUA
This 484-nucleotide ribosomal RNA is filed under the name uncultured Rozellomycota. RNAcentral describes it as "bacterial SSU rRNA". It matches the Rfam family "Eukaryotic small subunit ribosomal RNA", at positions 554 to 992 of the family's 1831-position model. Lineage: Eukaryota; Fungi; Rozellomycota. The record is from RNAcentral.